This 492-nucleotide ribosomal RNA is filed under the name uncultured bacterium. RNAcentral describes it as "partial 16S ribosomal RNA". It matches the Rfam family "Bacterial small subunit ribosomal RNA", at positions 29 to 507 of the family's 1533-position model. The record is from RNAcentral.
AGUGAACGCUGGCGGUAGGCCUAACACAUGCAAGUCGAACGGCAGCACCGUAAGAGCUUGCUCUUACGGGUGGCGAGUGGCGGACGUGUGAGGAAUACAUCGUAAUCUACUUUUUCGUGGGGGUUAACGUAGGGAAACUUACUCUAAUACCGCAUACGACCUACGGGUGAAAGCAGUGGAUCUUCUGACCUUGCGCGAUUGAAUGAGCCGAUGUCGGAUUAGCUAGUUGGCGGGGUAAAGGCCCACCAAGGCGACGAUCCGUAGCUGGUCUGAGAGGAUGGUAAGCGACCCUGGAACGUAAACACGGUCCAGGCUCCUACGGGAGGCAGCAGUGGGGAAUAUUAGACAGUAGGCGCAAACCUGACCCAGCCAGACCGCGUGGGUGAAGAAGACCUUCGGGUUGUAAAGACCUUUUGUGGGGAGAGAACAGCAGUCGGUUAAUACCCCGCUGUUCUGACGGUACCCAGAGAAUAAGCACCGGCUAACUUCGUG